RNAcentral lists this ribosomal RNA (200 nucleotides) under uncultured bacterium. Its description in RNAcentral is "partial 16S ribosomal RNA". It matches the Rfam family "Bacterial small subunit ribosomal RNA", at positions 8 to 228 of the family's 1533-position model. The record is from RNAcentral.
AGAGUUUGAUCCUGGCUCAGGAUAAACGCUGGCGGCGUGCCUAACACAUGCAAGUCGAACGCUCUUGGAAACAAGGGAGUGGCGGACGGGUGAGGAACACGUGGGUAUCUACCUUGAGGUGAGGAAUACCAGCGAGAAAUCGCUGACAAGACCGCAUACCUUCUCGGAAGAGAAGAAAGUCGCAAGACGCCUUUGGAUGA